This 498-nucleotide ribosomal RNA is filed under the name uncultured bacterium. RNAcentral's name for it is "partial 16S ribosomal RNA". It matches the Rfam family "Bacterial small subunit ribosomal RNA", at positions 30 to 523 of the family's 1533-position model. The record is from RNAcentral.
AUUGAACGCUGGCGGCAUGCCUUACACAUGCAAGUCGAACGGUAACAGGUCUUCAGAUGCUGACGAGUGGCGAACGGGUGAGUAAUACAUCGGAACGUGCCUAGUAGUGGGGGAUGACUACUCGAAAGAGUGGCUAAUACCGCAUGAGAUCUACGGAUGAAAGCAGGGGAUCGCAAGACCUUGUGCUACUAGAGCGGCCGAUGGCAGAUUAGGUAGUUGGCGGGAUAAAAGCUUACCAAGCCGACGAUCUGUAGCUGGUCUGAGAGGACGAUCAGCCACACUGGGACUGAGACACGGCCCAGACUCCUACGGGAGGCAGCAGUGGGGAAUUUUGGACAAUGGGCGAAAGCCUGAUCCAGCAAUGCCGCGUGCAGGAUGAAGGCCUUCGGGUUGUAAACUGCUUUUGUACGGAACGAAAAGCCCCGGGUUAAUACCCUGGGGUCAUGACGGUACCGUAAGAAUAAGCACCGGCUAACUACGUGCCAGCCGCCGCCGUAA